This 29-nucleotide non-coding RNA is filed under the name Cricetulus griseus (Chinese hamster). Lineage: Eukaryota; Metazoa; Chordata; Mammalia; Rodentia; Cricetidae. The record is from RNAcentral.
GCACAAUGACUUAACCUGUUUACUCUCAG